AGCGCUGGGUAGCCAAGCAGGGAAGGGAUAACCGCUGAAAGCAUCUAAGCGGGAAGCCCGCCUCAAGACGAGACAUCCCACGGGGCUCGACCCCGCCGAAGGCCCCCGGGACAAUACCGGGUCGAUAGGCUGCAGGCGCAGGCGCGGCGACGCGCACAACCGAGCAGUACUAAUAGGCCGCGAGGCUUGGCCAU
RNAcentral lists this ribosomal RNA (194 nucleotides) under Treponema sp. Its description in RNAcentral is "partial 23S ribosomal RNA". It matches the Rfam family "Bacterial large subunit ribosomal RNA", at positions 2737 to 2925 of the family's 2925-position model. Lineage: Bacteria; Pseudomonadati; Spirochaetota; Spirochaetia; Treponematales; Treponemataceae. The record is from RNAcentral.